Molecule: long non-coding RNA, 487 nt
Organism: Pogoniulus pusillus (Red-fronted tinkerbird)
Lineage: Eukaryota; Metazoa; Chordata; Aves; Piciformes; Lybiidae
Exons: 5
Source: RefSeq, a predicted model, not a curated record
UCCAGGAAAGCUCAAGUGAGACUGGAUUCUGAAUGUGCUAAGGAAGUACAGGAAAAAAUACUGGAAAUUGCUUCUGUCCUGAAACAGGUGAGGCAGAAGUGGGAAUGGCAGCAUGAAGAGACAAAUAAUUUACAUGAAUAGAAAUGGAGAGUAGAAGCUGUGUUACCCUCAAAGUCAAGACCUGUCCAAGGAGGGUGAGGAGUUGGGGAAGAAGAUAUUACUGUUUGUGAGACUCUCGUAGUCAUAGUUUGCAAGAGCUGGUUACAGAGUUUUUACCUUGCAAGCCAGAUCUCACUAUUUAAAAUCUGCAUCUUGAUCUGAGUCAAAAGAUUGCUAUCCAGAAGGCUUUUUGGGAUCUUAUGAGUUCAAUCUAGCAGAGUAAUUAGACACCGACAGUGAUGUAUAAACUUCAGAGGGGUGGGCAGCUAACUCCUACCCUGGAAGCAUGUGAAUAAGAAGAACCUCAGGAGAAAAAAUACCUCUGGUG